This 466-nucleotide ribosomal RNA is filed under the name uncultured Syntrophorhabdus sp. Its description in RNAcentral is "bacterial SSU rRNA". It matches the Rfam family "Bacterial small subunit ribosomal RNA", at positions 338 to 795 of the family's 1533-position model. Lineage: Bacteria; Pseudomonadati; Thermodesulfobacteriota; Syntrophorhabdia; Syntrophorhabdales; Syntrophorhabdaceae. The record is from RNAcentral.
CCUACGGGCGGCUGCAGUGGGGAAUAUUGGGCAAUGGGCGAAAGCCUGACCCAGCGACGCCGCGUGGGCGAUGAAGGCCUUCGGGUUGUAAAGCCCUUUUAUGCGGAAAGAACAGCCUUGAAACGAAUAAUUUCAGGGUUUGACGGUACCGCAGGAAGAAGCACCGGCUAACUCCGUGCCAGCAGCCGCGGUAAUACGGAGGGUGCAAGCGUUGUUCGGAAUUAUUGGGCGUAAAGGGCGCGUAGGCGGUUGUGAAAGUCAGAUGUGAAAUCCUUUGGCUUAACUGAAGAACUGCAUCUGAAACUUCAUAACUCGAGUACAGGAGAGGGAAACGGAAUUCCCGGUGUAGAGGUGAAAUUCGUAGAUAUCGGGAGGAACACCAGUGGCGAAGGCGGUUUCCUGGCCUGAUACUGACGCUGAGGCGCGAAAGCGUGGGGAGCAAACAGGCUUAGAUACCCUAGUAGUC